Molecule: ribosomal RNA, 497 nt
Filed under: uncultured bacterium
Lineage: Bacteria
Description: partial 16S ribosomal RNA
Rfam family: Bacterial small subunit ribosomal RNA
Source: RNAcentral
GGUGAACGCUGGCGGCGUGCCUAAUACAUGCAAGUCGAGCGAACAGAUAAGGAGCUUGCUCCUUUGACGUUAGCGGCGGACGGGUGAGUAACACGUGGGUAACCUACCUAUAAGACUGGGAUAACUUCGGGAAACCGGAGCUAAUACCGGAUAACAUUUGGAACCGCAUGGUUCUAAAGUGAAAGAUGGUUUUGCUAUCACUUAUAGAUGGACCCGCGCCGUAUUAGCUAGUUGGUAAGGUAACGGCUUACCAAGGCGACGAUACGUAGCCGACCUGAGAGGGUGAUCGGCCACACUGGAACUGAGACACGGUCCAGACUCCUAUGGGAGGCAGCAGUAGGGAAUCUUCCGCAAUAGGCGAAAGCCUGACGGAGCAACGCCGCGUGAGUGAUGAAGGGUUUCGGCUCGUAAAACUCUGUUAUUAGGGAAGAACAAAUGUGUAAGUAACUGUGCACGUCUUGACGGUACCGAAUCAGAAAGCCACGGCUAACUACGUG